AGACCCGAAACCCGGUGAUCUAGCCAUGGGCAGGUUGAAGGUUGGGUAACACUAACUGGAGGACCGAACCGACUAAUGUUGAAAAAUUAGCGGAUGACCUGUGGCUGGGGGUGAAAGGCCAAUCAAACCGGGAGAUAGCUGGUUCUCCCCGAAAGCUAUUUAGGUAGCGCCUCGUGAAUUCAUCUCCGGGGGUAGAGCACUGUUUCGGCUAGGGGGCCAUCCCGGCUUACCAACCCGAUGCAAACUGCGAAUACCGGAGAAUGUUAUCACGGGAGACACACGGCGGGUGCUAACGUCCGUCGUGAAGAGGGAAACAACCCAGACCGCCAGCUAAGGUCCCAAAGUCAUGGUUAAGUGGGAAACGAUGUGGGAAGGCCCAGACAGCCAGGAUGUUGGCUUAGAAGCAGCCAUCAUUUAAAGAAAGCGUAAUAGCUCACUGGUCGAGUCGGCCUGCGCGGAAGAUGUAACGGGGCUAAACCAUGCACCGAAGCUGCGGCAGCGACACUGUGUGUUGUUGGGUAGGGGAGCGUUCUGUAAGCCUGCGAAGGUGGCCUGUGAGGGUUGCUGGAGGUAUCAGAAGUGCGAAUGCUGACAUAAGUAACGAUAAAGCGGGUGAAAAGCCCGCUCGCCGGAAGACCAAGGGUUCCUGUCCAACGUUAAUCGGGGCAGGGUGAGUCGACCCCUAAGGCGAGGCCGAAAGGCGUAGUCGAUGGGAAACGGGUUAAUAUUCCCGUACUUGGUGUUACUGCGAAGGGGGGACGGAGAAGGCUAUGUUGGCCGGGCGACGGUUGUCCCGGUUUAAGCGUGUAGGCUGGUUUUCCAGGCAAAUCCGGAAAAUCAAGGCUGAGGCGUGACGACGAGGCACUACGGUGCUGAAGCAACAAAUGCCCUGCUUCCAGGAAAAGCCUCUAAGCAUCAGGUAACAUCAAAUCGUACCCCAAACCGACACAGGUGGUCAGGUAGAGAAUACCAAGGCGCUUGAGAGAACUCGGGUGAAGGAACUAGGCAAAAUGGUGCCGUAACUUCGGGAGAAGGCACGCUGACACGUAGGUGAAGUGAUUUACUCAUGGAGCUGAAGUCAGUCGAAGAUACCAGCUGGCUGCAACUGUUUAUUAAAAACACAGCACUGUGCAAACACGAAAGUGGACGUAUACGGUGUGACGCCUGCCCGGUGCCGGAAGGUUAAUUGAUGGGGUCAGCGCAAGCGAAGCUCCUGAUCGAAGCCCCGGUAAACGGCGGCCGUAACUAUAACGGUCCUAAGGUAGCGAAAUUCCUUGUCGGGUAAGUUCCGACCUGCACGAAUGGCGUAAUGAUGGCCAGGCUGUCUCCACCCGAGACUCAGUGAAAUUGAACUCGCUGUGAAGAUGCAGUGUACCCGCGGCAAGACGGAAAGACCCCGUGAACCUUUACUAUAGCUUGACACUGAACAUUGAGCCUUGAUGUGUAGGAUAGGUGGGAGGCUUUGAAGUGUGGACGCCAGUCUGCAUGGAGCCAACCUUGAAAUACCACCCUUUAAUGUUUGAUGUUCUAACGUGGACCCGUAAUCCGGGUUGCGGACAGUGUCUGGUGGGUAGUUUGACUGGGGCGGUCUCCUCCUAAAGAGUAACGGAGGAGCACGAAGGUUGGCUAAUCCUGGUCGGACAUCAGGAGGUUAGUGCAAUGGCAUAAGCCAGCUUGACUGCGAGCGUGACGGCGCGAGCAGGUGCGAAAGCAGGUCAUAGUGAUCCGGUGGUUCUGAAUGGAAGGGCCAUCGCUCAACGGAUAAAAGGUACUCCGGGGAUAACAGGCUGAUACCGCCCAAGAGUUCAUAUCGACGGCGGUGUUUGGCACCUCGAUGUCGGCUCAUCACAUCCUGGGGCUGAAGUAGGUCCCAAGGGUAUGGCUGUUCGCCAUUUAAAGUGGUACGCGAGCUGGGUUUAGAACGUCGUGAGACAGUUCGGUCCCUAUCUGCCGUGGGCGCUGGAGAACUGAGGGGGGCUGCUCCUAGUACGAGAGGACCGGAGUGGACGCAUCACUGGUGUUCGGGUUGUCAUGCCAAUGGCACUGCCCGGUAGCUAAAUGCGGAAGAGAUAAGUGCUGAAAGCAUCUAAGCACGAAACUUGCCCCGAG
This 2109-nucleotide ribosomal RNA is filed under the name Salmonella enterica. Its description in RNAcentral is "partial 23S ribosomal RNA". It matches the Rfam family "Bacterial large subunit ribosomal RNA", at positions 711 to 2803 of the family's 2925-position model. The record is from RNAcentral. Lineage: Bacteria; Pseudomonadati; Pseudomonadota; Gammaproteobacteria; Enterobacterales; Enterobacteriaceae.